GUAGGUGGCAAGCGUUGUCCGGGAAUUAUUGGGGCGUAAAGCGCGCGCAGGCGGUUCUUUAAGUCUGAUGUGAAAGCCCACGGGCUCAACCGUGGAGGGUCAUUGGAAACUGGAGAACUUGAGUACAGAAGAGGAAAGCGGAAUUCCACGUGUAGCGGUGAAAUGCGUAGAGAUGUGGAGGAACACCAGUGGCGAAGGCGGCUUUCUGGUCUGUAACUGACGCUGAGGCGCGAAAGCGUGGGGAGCAAACAGGAUUAGAUACCCUGGUAGUCCACGCCGUAAACGAUGAGUGCUAAGUGUUAGGGGGUUCCGCCCCUUAGUGCUGCAGCUAACGCAUUAAGCACUCCGCCUGGGGAGUACGGCCGCAAAGGCUGA
RNAcentral lists this ribosomal RNA (375 nucleotides) under uncultured organism. RNAcentral describes it as "partial 16S ribosomal RNA". It matches the Rfam family "Bacterial small subunit ribosomal RNA", at positions 527 to 897 of the family's 1533-position model. The record is from RNAcentral.